This 354-nucleotide ribosomal RNA is filed under the name Triticum aestivum (bread wheat). RNAcentral describes it as "partial small subunit ribosomal RNA". Lineage: Eukaryota; Viridiplantae; Streptophyta; Magnoliopsida; Poales; Poaceae. The record is from RNAcentral.
AUGAAUGCCAAUCCAGCCGCGCCCAUCUUGCUCCUCCUGCUCCUUGUUGGAUGCCACGCCUUCUCCGCACACGGUGAUGACGCCGAGGGAUCGGGCGGCGGUCGCCGUGAGCUGGGCGACGGCGGCGGCAGCGGCAGCAAGGCUCAGGUCGCCGGGUUGUGCGUCGACAGCCCGUGCGACGCGGACCCCAACCGGACGUGCUUCUGCUGCACGAGGCUGGCCAACGAGCCCUGCUACGACACGCUGAGGCAGUGCUUCAGCGUCUGCCCCAACUGUAACUUCCCCGUCUGCCCGCCGGCGGCGGCCUCGGCGGGCCGGCGUACUCGGUUCGUGUUAGCUCCGGCGUCGGCGUGA